Athalia rosae (coleseed sawfly) is the source of this 719-nucleotide long non-coding RNA. RefSeq lists it as uncharacterized. The record is from RefSeq and is a predicted model, not a curated record. The transcript has 2 exons. NCBI's taxonomy places the organism in Eukaryota, Metazoa, Arthropoda, Insecta, Hymenoptera, Athaliidae.
CCCUUUUUUUUCUUUGUUUUAAAUUAAAAAAAAAAUUCAAUUCGUCGUUUCACCCUCAUCUAUUCAUCUAUCUGUACAUUUGUUAUCGCUUUCAGUUCUCUUCUAUAAGUUAUGCUGCAUAUAUCUACGUUGAAAAAUCUUAAAUAUAUAGGUACAUCUUAUCAUUUGUGCACCGUUCCACCGUACGAUAAAUCAGAAACUCAGAAUUAUUGAGAUGCAGAAUUCACUCGAUCGAGUGUAUUGCGUGUGUAAAACCAGCUUCGAAAAGUUAAAUAUAAAACGUUAGUCGCACUAUCUCCAGUGGCCCACUUGCUCGAGCCACUUGCUUUCUUAAUUUGCCGUGUAUCUUAACCAUCGGUAGAUGGUAGAAUACGUUAUAACAUUACACUGCACGGUCUACCGCCGAAUUAUAACUCAUUUGUAUAAUGUAGCGCGAAAAAAUGAAGUGAACUUGUGAGUGAUAAUGAGAAUAAUUGCCGAUAGGGACGAGAAGAAGAUCGGUCGUCGACGUCGUAGUUGACCGCAUUAUCGGAAUUAGAAUCCUGAGAACUUUCUUCCUCGGAUGUUAAAUCUCCUGACAUUUCAACCCUAGUUGCGAUGACUUUUUCAAAAUCGUUGCAACAAUUGACCGGAAGUGAACGAUCCUCGUCCUUAUCCUCCUGCUGCAGAACAAAGUUACCCCUCCAAGACGAGGAAGGUCCAGUUUUUCGAUUAUCAGC